AAGGGCAUGGCUGGUUAGCGACCUGCGGAAAGGAUAACCGCUGAAAGCAUCUAAGCGGGAAGCCUGUUUCAAGAUGAGAUCUCCCACCGGGUAAACCGGGUAAGGCCCGUGGCAGACUACCACGUUGAUAGGCCGGAAGUGUAAGCGCGGCAACGCGUUCAGCUGACCGGUACUAAUCGGCCGAGGGCUUGGG
Molecule: ribosomal RNA, 193 nt
Filed under: Acidimicrobiia bacterium
Lineage: Bacteria; Bacillati; Actinomycetota; Acidimicrobiia
Description: partial 23S ribosomal RNA
Rfam family: Bacterial large subunit ribosomal RNA
Source: RNAcentral